CUGAAAGCAUCUAAGCGGGAAGCGAGCCCUGAGAUGAGUCAUCCCUGACCCCUUGAGGGUCCUAAAGGGCCGUUGGAGACCACAACGUUGAUAGGUGGGGUGUGUAAGCGCGGCGACGUGUUGAGCUAACCCAUACUAAUUACCCGUGAGGCUUAACCAUACAACACCCAAGAAGUGUUCU
Molecule: ribosomal RNA, 181 nt
Filed under: Aeromonas veronii
Lineage: Bacteria; Pseudomonadati; Pseudomonadota; Gammaproteobacteria; Aeromonadales; Aeromonadaceae
Description: partial 23S ribosomal RNA
Rfam family: Bacterial large subunit ribosomal RNA (bases 1-160)
Source: RNAcentral